GCGGUAGUAGCUCAAUUGGUAGAGUAUCGGCCUUCCAAGCCGAGGGUUGCGAGUUCGACUCUCGUCUACCGCUCCA
This 76-nucleotide transfer RNA is filed under the name Oceanotoga teriensis. RNAcentral's name for it is "tRNA-Gly". It matches the Rfam family "tRNA". Rfam says of the family: Transfer RNA (tRNA) molecules are approximately 80 nucleotides in length. Their secondary structure includes four short double-helical elements and three loops (D, anti-codon, and T loops). Further hydrogen bonds mediate the characteristic L-shaped molecular structure. tRNAs have two regions of fundamental functional importance: the anti-codon, which is responsible for specific mRNA codon recognition, and the 3' end, to which the tRNAs corresponding amino acid is attached (by aminoacyl-tRNA synthetases). tRNAs cope with the degeneracy of the genetic code in two manners: having more than one tRNA (with a specific anti-codon) for a particular amino acid; and 'wobble' base-pairing, i.e. permitting non-standard base-pairing at the 3rd anti-codon position. The record is from RNAcentral. Lineage: Bacteria; Thermotogati; Thermotogota; Thermotogae; Petrotogales; Petrotogaceae. RNAcentral also lists the same sequence under 1 other name.